UUACAGGCAUGCACCACCAUGCCCAGCUAAUUGCUUUGACUUUAGACAAUUUGACUAUAAUGUGCUCUGGAGAAGACCUUUUGUAUUCUAUCUGUUUGGGGAUUGCUUGGUGUCCUGUAUCUAAAAAUCCAUAUCUCUUGCUAGACUUGGGAAGUUUUCAUCUGUUAUUUUGUUAAAUAGGUUUUUGAACCCUUUUGUUCUCUUUUCAUCUUCUGGGAUAUUGGUAAUUCAUAUAUUUGGUAGCUUUACGGUGUUCCACUUUCCAUAUAUCAUGAAAGCUUUGUUUAUUCCCUUUUCUUUAUUUUUGUCUGACUGAGUUAUUUCAAAAGACCUGUCUUCAAGUUCUGAGAUUCUUUCUUUUGCUUGAUCUAGUCUGUUGUGGAAGCUUUCAAAUAUGAUUUGUAUUUAAUUUAAUGAAUUCUUCAGUUUUAGAAUUUCUAUUUAGUUCUUUUUAAUGACAUCUAUUUCUUUGCUAAAUUUCUUAUUCAUAUCCUGAAUUGUUUUCUAAUUUCUUUGUAUUGUUCUUUGGAAUUCUCUUGUAUCUCACUGAGCUUCUUUACUGUCAAAAUUUUGAAUUCUUUUUCUGUGAUUUUGUGAAAUUUUUUUUAUUGAGAUCUGUUACUGGAGAAUUACUGGGUUCCUUUAGAGGUGUCAUAUUUCCUUGCUUUUAUAAGUUUCCUGUGUUCUUACAUUGAUACCUUCAUAUUUGCUAUUAUUGUCACUUCUUCCAAUUUUUUGUAUUUGCUUUCACAGGAGAGAAAUUUUUCUGACGAUGCAUUAAUGGUGUUGGUCAGGUAUGGCCCUUUGGCUUUUAUUUUGGGUGCAUACUGUAGUGUAGUCUCUCUGUACAAUUUCUUUGGCUGUAAACAAUAUCAGUGGUAUUCGUGAUUUCCUUGGUGGCUUAGGGUAUGGUUAUUAGUGGAGGCUCUGGUGAGCUUUGGCUGGAAACAGAGAUGCCAGAUGGGCCAGUCUUCAGCCUCCAGUGGUGGCAGUGGAGGGCCAAGCAUCCCUGUUCUUGGACCCCAGGAUGGUGUCCACUGUCACCAGUGUCAGCAGGUCCAGGCAGGCUGAUUCUUGGGCCUCCAGGGUGGCUUGUUCAGAUGCUAGUAUUGGCGGCAGUGGGUUGGGCAUGUGGGCAGGUUCUUCAGUCCCUGGGAAGAAAGUAUGGUGUGUGUGAUGGCAGUUAGUAGUGGCAGAUGACCCUCUGGGUCCUGAGAAGUGUAUAUUUGUAUUGGUGAUGGCUCGAUGGGCUGGGCAGGACAGUCCCCAGGCUCCUAGGUAGUGCAUGUGGGUGGGUGCUGGCAGUGGUGUUGGUGUCAGGUUGGGUGGGCCCAUCUUCAGGUUCCUGAAGGGACUGCACAGAUGCCAGAGGUGGUGGAAUGGGUGUAGUGAUCCCCAGGUCCUAAGGCAGCAUGCUUGGGCUCUGGGGACUGGGCCUCUCUCUGGGCUGCCUCUCCAGUCCUCUGCCUGCCACUGUUUUCAUUGCUAUCAUUAUUUCUGUUUCUCUGAAGGUAGAGAAUGCUGCCAACCUGCUCUGCCCUCCUCAGACUCUCUCGUCUGACAGUUCUAUAAAGGCCCCUCCACCCAGCCUCUAGCCCAUUUCUUUCUCUGGCUUUUGCAGGGUAACAGAAGACAGAGAAGCUACAAAAAAAGCCUCCAAAACAUGAAUUAUUGAAAUGAUCAGAUAUGGUUCACAAAAUAACGAUGCUUUUUACAUUUAUGAAAUAAAUUCCAAGCUUAAAAACAUCCGUGAAAAGGAAACUCUAAAAUUUAAUGUGACAUAUUAAGAAAAAAAUCCAAAAAUAUAAUACUCAAAAUUAAGAUGGGCUUAAGAGCAAAUGAAAUGUAGCUAACAUUUUUAAAUGGAAGACAAGAAGAAAACAUCCUCCAGAAUGCAGCACACAGAAAUAAAAGGGAAGAAUUGGAAAAGAGUGGAUAAGAGGCAUAAGUGGUCAGUGACAAGUUGUAGCCCAGAAAGUGUGAAGGGAAUGGGACAGAUAUAAAAUUGGAAGAAAUAACAGCUCUGAAUUUUUCAAAAGUAAAAACGAUAUCAAUCUACAACUUUAAGAAUCUCCAUAUAUCCUAAGCAAAAUAAAUUAUAAGAAACUCACACCCAGACAUUGCAGCAAAACUUCAGACAACAAUAGACAGAGACAAAAAUCUUAAAGCAUCAGAAAAGAAGCAGUUACUUUCAAAGGAAGAACAGUUAGACUGAGAACUGACUUCUCAAUAGUAA
This 2236-nucleotide long non-coding RNA is filed under the name Homo sapiens (human). Its description in RNAcentral is "non-protein coding RFX3-AS1:22". Lineage: Eukaryota; Metazoa; Chordata; Mammalia; Primates; Hominidae. The record is from RNAcentral.